RNAcentral lists this ribosomal RNA (549 nucleotides) under uncultured Glomus. Its description in RNAcentral is "SSU rRNA". It matches the Rfam family "Eukaryotic small subunit ribosomal RNA", at positions 548 to 1098 of the family's 1831-position model. The record is from RNAcentral. Lineage: Eukaryota; Fungi; Glomeromycota; Glomeromycetes; Glomerales; Glomeraceae.
UUGGAGGGCAAGUCUGGUGCCAGCAGCCGCGGUAAUUCCAGCUCCAAUAGCGUAUAUUAAAGUUGUUGCAGUUAAAAAGCUCGUAGUUGAAUUUCGGGGUUAGCAGGUUAGUCGUGCCACUGGUAUGUACUGGCCUUGCUGAUUCCUCCCUCUUGAUGAGCCGUAAUGCCAUUAAUUUGGUGUUGCGAGGAAUCAGGACUGUUACUUUGAAAAAAUUAGAGUGUUUAAAGCAGGCAAGCGCUUGAAUACAUUAGCAUGGAAUAAUGAAAUAGGACGUUUGAUCUUAUUUUGUUGGUUUCUAAGAUUGACGUAAUGAUUAAUAGGGAUAGUUGGGGGCAUUAGUAUUCAAUUGUCAGAGGUGAAAUUCUUGGAUUUAUUGAAGACUAACUACUGCGAAAGCAUUUGCCAAGGAUGUUUUCAUUAAUCAAGAACGAAAGUUAGGGGAUCGAAGACGAUCAGAUACCGUCGUAGUCUUAACCAUAAACUAUGCCGACUAGGGAUCGGAUGAUGUUAAUUUUUUAAUGACUCAUUCGGCACCUUACGGGAAAC